RNAcentral lists this ribosomal RNA (437 nucleotides) under Allosepsis sp. 3 LZ-2013. RNAcentral's name for it is "partial 16S ribosomal RNA". It matches the Rfam family "Bacterial large subunit ribosomal RNA", at positions 1918 to 2563 of the family's 2925-position model. The record is from RNAcentral. Lineage: Eukaryota; Metazoa; Arthropoda; Insecta; Diptera; Sepsidae.
UUUUUUUAAAUGGCCGCAGUAUUCUAACUGUGCAAAGGUAGCAUAAUCAUUAGUCUUUUAAUUGAAGGCUUGUAUGAAUGGUUGGACGAGGUAUUAACUGUUUCAAAUAAAUUUAUAAUAGAAUUUUAUUUUUUAGUCAAAAAGCUAAAAUUUUAUUAAAAGACGAGAAGACCCUAUAAAUCUUUACUUUUAAUUUUAUUUUAAUUAUUAAGAUAAAUUUUAUUAUAAUAAAAUUAAAAGUUUUAUUGGGGUGAUAUUAAAAUUUAAUGAACUUUUAAUUUUUAAAAACAUAGAUUCAUGAUUAAUUGAUCCAUUAAUAAUGAUUAAAAAUUUAAGUUACUUUAGGGAUAACAGCGUAAUUUUUUUGGAGAGUUCUUAUCGAUAAAAAAGAUUGCGACCUCGAUGUUGGAUUAAGAAAAAUUUUAGGUGUAGCCGCU